Molecule: transfer RNA, 84 nt
Filed under: Parcubacteria group bacterium
Lineage: Bacteria
Description: tRNA-Ser
Rfam family: tRNA
About the family: Transfer RNA (tRNA) molecules are approximately 80 nucleotides in length. Their secondary structure includes four short double-helical elements and three loops (D, anti-codon, and T loops). Further hydrogen bonds mediate the characteristic L-shaped molecular structure. tRNAs have two regions of fundamental functional importance: the anti-codon, which is responsible for specific mRNA codon recognition, and the 3' end, to which the tRNAs corresponding amino acid is attached (by aminoacyl-tRNA synthetases). tRNAs cope with the degeneracy of the genetic code in two manners: having more than one tRNA (with a specific anti-codon) for a particular amino acid; and 'wobble' base-pairing, i.e. permitting non-standard base-pairing at the 3rd anti-codon position.
Source: RNAcentral
GGUGGGAUGUGCCGAAUUGGUAAGGCACUGGUUUCGAAAACCAGCGGGCGUAAGCCUAUGCGAGUUCGAAUCUCGCUCCCACCG